RNAcentral lists this long non-coding RNA (1012 nucleotides) under Heterocephalus glaber (naked mole-rat). Its description in RNAcentral is "lncRNA (ENSHGLG00000044104.1)". The record is from RNAcentral. Lineage: Eukaryota; Metazoa; Chordata; Mammalia; Rodentia; Bathyergidae.
CACGAAUAUCCACACUACUGCGCAGCUUCAACUGUCCUGCUAAGUAUCCCAGCUGGCAGGGAACUUGGGGGAUGCGUUUGGGGUUUCGGUUUUCCAGCGGAAAACACAUUCCCACUGUGACCCGGAUGAAUGACGUCACCCACAGAUACCAGGUCCUUGCGUGGUAACAAGGCCCCAGCUCGGGGUAGGCAUCGAGGAGGUGAGGAGAGAGAGAGGAGGAGAGGCCACAGACAGGUCAUCCCUUCUUCCCUCCGUGGCUGGGAGGAAGACACUCCCUUAUCCUCACGGCUCCACUAGGACGGCACUGGUGUUUUAAAAUAGCUGCCCAGCUGGGGGUGGUGGCCCAUCACUAUGAUCCCAGCCCUCCAGAGGCUGAAGCAGGAGGAACGCCACAAGUUCAGAAACAAAAUGGAACAACAAAAUAGUGAUAGUGUAGAGAACUCAAGAGGGGAAUUCAGAGUGGAUUCCAGUUCCAGACUUCUUGGAAGGGCAUUAUUGCAACAGCAGCACAGCAGCAAGAUGAGAGAGCUUGGACAAGAGUUUUGUAGCAGGCUCAGAAAUAUAUACAUGAAAUUGUGAAUGAUUUGGAGGUAAAAUUGAUACAUAUUUGCUGAGGAGUUGUGUAUACAUCAAAGAUACCCCCAGGUUUCUGCCUGCACAACAUCAGUGAUGGGUAAUAUAAGAAAUAUCAGAUUUGGAACAAAAAAAUUUGGUUUUGCAGUUGAACCUGUGAUUCCUUUGAGACAUCCAAGUAAGCUUACUCAGGAGUGGCUGGAUCUAGAAUGUGGAGUUAAACUUAGGUCUUGUCUGGAAACAUCAAAUCUGAAGUGAUCAGCAUACCCAUGGGAGAUUUUUGGAAACUGAAGCCCUGAGAGCAGAUGACUGUGUAUAAGAAGAAAGGGGCUUCUAAAGAGGAGAGAAAAGCCAAGACUGAACUCAACAACAAACACUAGGAUUUGAAGAAAGGCAGAAGUGGAAAGAAAAACAUGCCAAGUCAAUACAGGAUAAAAAG